Molecule: ribosomal RNA, 434 nt
Filed under: uncultured Clostridium sp.
Lineage: Bacteria; Bacillati; Bacillota; Clostridia; Eubacteriales; Clostridiaceae
Description: partial 16S ribosomal RNA
Rfam family: Bacterial small subunit ribosomal RNA
Source: RNAcentral
ACGGGAGGCAGCAGUGGGGGAUAUUGCACAAUGGGGGAAACCCUGAUGCAGCGACGCCGCGUGAGUGAAGAAGUAUUUCGGUAUGUAAAGCUCUAUCAGCAGGGAAGAAAAUGACGGUACCUGACUAAGAAGCCCCGGCUAACUACGUGCCAGCAGCCGCGGUAAUACGUAGGGGGCAAGCGUUAUCCGGAUUUACUGGGUGUAAAGGGAGCGUAGACGGCUUUGCAAGUCUGAAGUGAAAGCCCGGGGCUCAACCCCUGAACUGCUUUGGAAACUGUCAAGCUUGAGUACAGGAGCGGAAAGCGGAAUUCCUAGUGUAGCGGUGAAAUGCGUAGAUAUUAGGAGGAACACCAGUGGCGAAGGCGGCUUUCUGGACUGUAACUGACACUGAGGCACGAAAGCGUGGGGAGCAAACAGGAUUAGAUACCCUGGUA